GACGUGUUGUCUUUCUUAACACCGUAAUGAACCUUCGUGUGAAGUGGAAAAUCGAUUCCUGAGCAAUCGACGCCAACUAAUUCAGCACCUUCACUUGGGACAGCGCCUUUGUAACGUCGAACGUAAGAGGCAGCGUGUAAAGAAGCUUCCUAAGGGACACUUCGGGGAACACACUUAGGAACAUAAACAACUUUGGUAAGAUAUAUCUUUCGAGUCUUCUUAGUGCGCUAAGAGUGAACGUUAUCGGGGAACCGGGCCCAGAUGAUUACGUUCCAGAUACCACUUCCGAAAGUGACAGUGAUGUUAGCCUUACACUAAACCAGACAAAACGUCAGCUUCUUGAUGAACUGGAUGUUGAUCAGUCUGGCUCAGUGAGUUGCCCUGACUGUGACACCACAAUGUCAUACAAAAUGCACAGACUUAUAUCUGAAGCAUCUGGAACAGGAGAAGAACCCAGUUCAAGUCAGAACACAACCGAUGGCGUAGUUGUUAGUGUAUACCAAAAAAGAGAUGGUGCUAGAGUGUACAACAAGAGACAUUACUGCUUGUACUGCAGUAAAGCAUAUGCUAAGAUGGCAAGGCAUCUAGAAAGUUCACAUGUAAAUAAGUCUGAUGUGGCUAGAGCUCUAAGCUUUCCAAAGAGUUCAAAGGAGAGAAAAAAACAGCUUGAUUAUAUUCGCAACAGAGGAAACUAUGCUCACAAUGCAGCUGUUAUGGAGUCAGGAAAGGGGGAACUAGUGCCAUUUAAACGACCACGUAAAAAAGUGCAGGGAGAAGAUUUCAGGCAUUGUGCAUACUGUCAAGGACUUUUUACAAGAAAGGUCCUGUGGAGACACAUGCAUACUUGUAGACUUCAACCACAAUCUGACCCUCCCAAACCAUGAAAAAACUGUGUUCAGUCCAUGUGUACCUACACUGGGCCUGUGCCUUCAAACAUGACUAGACAACUGUGGGGAGUAAUCACUGCCAUGAAUCCUGACCCAAUCACAGAUAUAAUAAAAAAUUUAAUUACUAAAAUCGGGCAGCACUUGUUAAACAAAGGUGGGCUAUCAGAUAAGAAUAAACAAUGUGUGCGGGAGAAGAUGCAAGAAUUGGGAAGAUUGAUUCACAAUGCCAGGAAAGUCACCUCCUUAAAAAAAACUGGAAGAUUGUGUAAAUCCAAAGAAGUACAAGGAGACUGUCAAAGCUGUCAAGUAUACAUGUGGGUAUGACAGUGAAACCCACAAAUUCUUGAUUUCAUCACUUGCAAACAAGCUUGGAAAUUCCCUGGUUAAAGCAAGCAAACUCUUGAAAGCACAGGGCUUAAUCUCUAACGACAAACAGCUUGUGAAGAAUGCCACUGAGUUUCAAGAAGUCCAUGCAAAUAAGUCAAGUCAAGUCAAGUCAUCUUUAUUUAUAUAGCGCUUUAAACAAAAAAGAUUGCGUCAAAGCAACUGAACAACAUUAAUUAGGAAAACAGUGUGUCAAUAAUACAAAAUGACAGUUAAAGGCAGUUCAUCAUUGAAUUCAGUGAUGUCAUCAUGCAGCUCAGUUCAGUUUAAAUGGUAUCUGUGCAAUAAUUUGCAAUCAAGUCAAUGAUAUCGCUGUAAAUGAAGUGUCCCAAACUAAGCAAGCCAGAGGCGACAGCGGCAAGGAACCAAAACUCCAUCAGUGAGAGAAUGGAGAAAAAACCUUGGGAGUGGAACGAGAUGAUCUCUGCUACAGCGCUGAGGAAUAUCAGGGAAGCAAAGUGGAAUGUGCCCACUCUCAUGCCCUUUACUGAAGACGUACAAAAACUGCAUACUUUUCUCAGUCAAGUGCAAGACGAGUGGUUCAACCUGCUCUCUGAAAGUCCGUCUACUAAAGCCUGGAUGGAGCUGGCCAAGAGACACUUCUGAUCCAUAUGAAGAUGUGGACCUGGCUCUCUCCGAAGUGGAGAAGAAACUCUGCAGACGCUUCAUAAGGGUUAUCACCAGGGGAAAGCGUGGUCGGCCAGUUCCAGUUCUUCUGACUCCAAAAAUGCUGUGUUCCUUAGAACUCCUUGUUAAGCAGAGAGAGAAUUGUGGGGUUUUAAAAGACAAUGCCUAUAUGUUUGCUAGACCAGAAGCCAUGACACAUUUCCGAGGGUCAGACUGCCUCCGUGGCUUUGCAGAGGCAUGUGGUGCAAAAAGGUCCCAAGGCACUGACAUCUACCAGGCUGCGAAAGCAUUUCAACAGUGCUGAACAUGACAGACACCGAGAUGGACCAGCUGGCAAACUUUCUUGGGCACAACAUAAGAAUCCAUCAUGAGUUCUAUCGACUCCCUGAGAAGACCCUGCAACUUGCCAAGAUCAGCAAAGUUUUAAUGGCUCUUGAGCAAGGAAGAUUAGCUGAGAUCCAUGGCAAGAACUUGGAUGAAAUUGGGAUAGAUCCUGAUGAAAAAAAAUAUUGACUGUGAUGAGAAAGAACAAGUUAUUGACUGUGAUGAGGAAGAACAAGUUAUUGACUGUGAUGAGGAAGAACAAGUUAUUGACUGUGAUGAGGAAGAUGGGAGCAUACAAGAGGGACACUGUUUAUCUACUGUUGACGCCGAGGUGGCACUUCCUUCUACCGAGAGGAAUAUGUCACCACCUCACAAAAGAGGCAAACAUCAUCAGAUGUGCAGAUGCCUUCAGGAGCCAGUGCUAUGAGACCGCCUCGCAAAGGUAAAACUACCCAGAAGAAAACUCCCUGGCAGCAGGCAGAGGUGCAGGUGGUGGAAAGGCACCUGGAGCCAUUCAUCGUAUCUGGCACUGUACCAACAAAGAGUGACUGUGAGAAAUGCUUGAAAGCUGAACCAGAAGCUCUGAGGAACCGCGAUUAGAAGACUGUAAAAUUUUACGUUUAUAAUCGCAUUACAGCUUACAAAAAGAAAUUGCAGUGCAGAUAAUACUGUGAAGAUGCAACCAUCUGGCAUGGCAGGUUUUGUUUAAAUAAGUUGAGCCACAGCAACACUUAAAGAAAUAGAAUAUCUUUAUUGUUAAACCAGUGCAUAAAGGCCACAAGCUGAAAAGCAUUGGUCUAACAAAAGUUGUUCUAAAGUUUUUGUUGAAAUCCAUGUCUGUGAAAGGAGGC
This is a long non-coding RNA of Cyprinus carpio carpio, 3073 nucleotides long. The record is from Ensembl. NCBI's taxonomy places the organism in Eukaryota, Metazoa, Chordata, Actinopteri, Cypriniformes, Cyprinidae.